GAUGAACGCUAGCGGCAGGCUUAAUACAUGCAAGUCGAGGGGCAUCAAGGUACACGAAAGUGUAUUGUUGGCGACCGGCGGACGGGUGAGUAAUAGGUAGGUAACCUACCUCAUACUGAGGCAUAGCUGGGAGAAAUUCCAGGUAAUUCCUCAUGAGGUUAUAUGACACAUGUGAUAUAAUCAAAGGUAUCGCAAGGUACUGGUAUGAGAUGGGCUUACUGACCAUUAGCUAGUUGGUGAGAUAAGAGCUCACCAAGGCGAAGAUGGUUAGGGGUUUGAGAGAGAGAUCCCCCACAUUGGAACUGAGAUACGGUCCAGACUCCUACGGGAGGCAGCAGUAGGGAAUAUUGGGCAAUGGGCGGAAGCCUGACCCAGCCAUGCCGCGUGAAGGAAGACGGGCCUUUAGUGGGUUGUAAAACUUCUUUACUAUGCGACUAACUAGAUUUACGAGAUAAUUCUAAUAGAAUAGUAGCAUAAGACAAAAAAGACACCGGUA
RNAcentral lists this ribosomal RNA (496 nucleotides) under uncultured bacterium. RNAcentral's name for it is "bacterial SSU rRNA". It matches the Rfam family "Bacterial small subunit ribosomal RNA", at positions 28 to 499 of the family's 1533-position model. The record is from RNAcentral.